This is a non-coding RNA of Lyophyllum atratum, 89 nucleotides long. The record is from the annotation of a GenBank genome assembly. NCBI's taxonomy places the organism in Eukaryota, Fungi, Basidiomycota, Agaricomycetes, Agaricales, Lyophyllaceae.
UCUUUGCUAGUAUAUCGGUUAGUACACGCGCCUGUCAUUUGCAUCUGCGUGGUGCGCGCGAAAGCUGGGUUCGACUCCCAGGCAGAGAG